AUGCCUUUCUCGGCCUUUUGGCUAAGAUCAAGUGUAGUAUCUGUUCUUUUGAAGCACUGCUUCACAAUGUUGUAUUGAACUUAUUUUUUUAUGGGGAAGGAACCAUAAUAGUGGCUUGCCACUAGGGUUCCUUACGCGUCGCUAAAGCGUUGCACUAUAGCUUGAGCUUGGCGCACCCCAA
Molecule: small nuclear RNA, 181 nt
Filed under: Sorghum bicolor (sorghum)
Lineage: Eukaryota; Viridiplantae; Streptophyta; Magnoliopsida; Poales; Poaceae
Description: snRNA U2
Rfam family: U2 spliceosomal RNA
About the family: U2 is a small nuclear RNA (snRNA) component of the spliceosome (involved in pre-mRNA splicing). Complementary binding between U2 snRNA (in an area lying towards the 5' end but 3' to hairpin I) and the branchpoint sequence (BPS) of the intron results the bulging out of an unpaired adenosine, on the BPS, which initiates a nucleophilic attack at the intronic 5' splice site, thus starting the first of two transesterification reactions that mediate splicing.
Source: Rfam by way of RNAcentral